This 371-nucleotide ribosomal RNA is filed under the name uncultured bacterium. RNAcentral's name for it is "bacterial SSU rRNA". It matches the Rfam family "Bacterial small subunit ribosomal RNA", at positions 527 to 896 of the family's 1533-position model. The record is from RNAcentral.
GGGGGGUGCAAGCGUUGUUCGGAAUUAUUGGGCGUAAAGCGCGUGUAGGCGGUUUGAUUAGUCUGAUGUGAAAGCCCUGGGCUCAACCCAGGAAGUGCAUUGGAAACUGUCAGACUUGAAUACGGGAGAGGGUAGUGGAAUUCCUAGUGUAGGAGUGAAAUCCGUAGAUAUUAGGAGGAACACCGGUGGCGAAGGCGGCUACCUGGACCGAUAUUGACGCUGAGACGCGAAAGCGUGGGUAGCAAACAGGAUUAGAUACCCUGGUAGUCCACGCCGUAAACGAUGAGUACUAGGUGUUGCGGGUAUUGACCCCUGCAGUGCCGCAGCUAACGCAUUAAGUACUCCGCCUGGGAAGUACGGUCGCAAGACUA